This is a long non-coding RNA of Carassius auratus (goldfish), 1892 nucleotides long. RefSeq lists it as uncharacterized. The transcript has 4 exons. Lineage: Eukaryota; Metazoa; Chordata; Actinopteri; Cypriniformes; Cyprinidae. The record is from RefSeq and is a predicted model, not a curated record.
AGUCUCUGAGGGUUCGGUUGUAGAUGAGAUGAAUGUAUGCACAAUAAAAACGUCCAAUGCAUUGGUUGAAACCAUACUUGACUGUUGACAAACACUGAGCUACAAUAAUAGCCUUGAUACAAACACUUCUUUCCCAAUGAGUGGUUUCUAUAAGAUCAACUAGAUAAGAAUAAAAAUGGCAAGUGUGUUUUAUAAAAUUUAACCUCCAAGAUAAUUAACACUAUGACGGGGGCACGUAAACAGCAGAAACUGGGCAGGCCACCAAACGUUUGACCCAACAGAAAGACGAUACCUCAUUUGUCUCGCUUGUCUUGUGAUGGUGAAAGCAUGCACAGGAUAUCACAGCAAGGCCAUCACUGCUUUAGUUUCACCGCUACAAUACACCAAAGUGGUCCAUCACUCUUCCUUUAUAUCCGUCUUUCAGUGAGACGCUCCACAGCGUUACAUAAAUGGACGUGCUACUGUCUGCGGCAACAGGCGUCACUUUCCAGGAAUUUCACAGGGUUAUCUUUGUACCCCAGGACAAAUGAGGAGAUGAUCCUGCGCCAAUGAUGCAAGGAACCGUUUCAUCUGUCGCUCAUUGACCUUCAACCCAUCUGAACCCAUUGUCUCACAGAUCACAUUUCAAACUUGUUUAGUUGCAUGUGCCUGGAUAAAUCACUCCAUAAAUACCCAAAUUUGAAUGCAACUUUACAUUCCAGCCGCUUUUUGUUGCAGACAUGCCAAAAGUUAUAUGUCUUUGGGAUGUUGUUGGCUUAUCCCUCCCUACCUCAGCUGAACCAAACACAACAGCAGUUUGGCAUAACAGUGCGCCAGCUCCCUUAUUUAGAUGGAUAGUGGUUUUAUAAAAGAGAGGAAGGUCACACUGUUGAGAGGAUCCUCUGCUUCGGCCAUUCAACUUUCCCUCAAGCCUACAACUUGUGAACAGGGGAGCGUUUGCAGUAAUAUUUUCUGGUUUGGUGGCUGUCAGAGGCUAAGAACGCCCUUGCUGAUGCAGUUCAGUCUGCUCCUCAUGAAGCUGAUCUGCUGAGGGAGCAGUUUCAAGUAUGAAACCGAUGCCAUCCAGAGGAUUGAGGAGCUGGAGGAAGCUAAGAAGAAGCUGGUUCAGUGUCAAAUUGGUGAGAUGGAAAGAACAUUCAUGAACUAGAGAAAGUUUGUAAGCAGCUGGAGCAGGAGAAAGCUGAAAUUCGAGCAGCUUUGGAAGAGGCUGAGGUUUAUUGAAUGUGUAGAUGUACCAGGUCUAGUUUCUCCAGUUAUACACUAGAACAGUGGUCACCAACCUUUUUAAGCACAAAAUCCUUGAUCUCAGCUUUUAUGAAAGAUGAGAUCUACCUACUGAAAAACUGAUUGAAAAAGAGCCAAGAUUGUCUUUCCAAUUUGAGACCUUUUAUUUAGCAUUUUAAUUAGUGAUGCACUGAUCAUGAUGCUUCAUUCCCGUUUUUUUAAAAACUAGCAAUUUUACCUAAUGUUAAUAUGCUCUAUAACAAGCAAACGUGUCAAAUGUGCCAAAUUUGAAUCAUGAUCCCAACACAUUUUUGAUUUGAAUUAGGGUUUAUAAUUUCAAGAUUUAAGACGAAAACAUACAGGUCUGACUUAAAACACAUGAAUGGAAAUUCACUCUCUCUAUGUGAUGUAUUUUAUUUAUCACUGUCACAGAAGAUCCAGAAAAAUAACUGCAAAAAUAAAUACAAUACAGCACAAAGACUAGAGGAAUGUAAUGUAUUUCUACUUAUUUUAUAUUACAUUCUGGAGCUUCUGGGACAAUGAUAAUGAUAUCAAUCGACCAGUCUUCGCAAUCAAUAGGUCGGCGCGACUCUUGAUUGAAUAAUAAACAACUCAAACUUAUUAGUGAAGUGAUUACACGAUGAAGAUUGAAGCGGUCAUUUUCUGAG